GACGAACGCUGGCGGCGUGCCUAACACAUGCAAGUCGAACGGAAAGGCCCUGCUUUUGUGGGGUGCUCGAGUGGCGAUCGGGUGAGUAACACGUGAGUAACCUGCCCUUGACUUUGGGAUAACUUCAGGAAACUGGGGCUAAUACCGGAUAGGAGCUCCUGCUGCAUGGUGGGGGUUGGAAAGUUUCGGCGGUUGGGGAUGGACUCGCGGCUUAUCAGCUUGUUGGUGGGGUAGUGGCUUACCAAGGCUUUGACGGGUAGCCGGCCUGAGAGGGUGACCGGCCACAUUGGGACUGAGAUACGGCCCAGACUCCUACGGGAGGCAGCAGUGGGGAAUAUUGCACAAUGGGCGGAAGCCUGAUGCAGCAACGCCGCGUGCGGGAUGACGGCCUUCGGGUUGUAAACCGCUUUCGCCUGUGACGAAGCGUGAGUGACGGUAAUGGGUAAAGAAGCACCGGCUAACUACGU
This 467-nucleotide ribosomal RNA is filed under the name uncultured bacterium. RNAcentral's name for it is "partial 16S ribosomal RNA". It matches the Rfam family "Bacterial small subunit ribosomal RNA", at positions 28 to 506 of the family's 1533-position model. The record is from RNAcentral.